Molecule: ribosomal RNA, 440 nt
Filed under: uncultured bacterium
Lineage: Bacteria
Description: partial 16S ribosomal RNA
Rfam family: Bacterial small subunit ribosomal RNA
Source: RNAcentral
CCUACGGGUGGCAGCAGUGGGGAAUCUUGCACAAUGGGGGGAACCCUGAUGCUGCGACGCCGCGUGAGUGAAUAAGUAUUUCGGUAUGUAAAGCUCUAUCCGCAGGGAAGAAAAUGACGGUACCUGACUAAGAAGACCCGGCUAACUACGUGCCAGCAGCCGCGGUAAUACGUAGGGGGCAAGCGUUAUCCGGAUUUACUGGGUGUAAAGGGAGCGUAGACGGCAGAGCAAGUCUGAAGUGAAAGCCCGCGGCCCAACGGCGGGACUGCUUUGGAAACUGCCCGACUAGAGUGAUGGAGUGGUAAGCGGAAUUCUUAGUGUAGCAGUGAAAUGCGUAGAUAUUAGGAGGAACACUAGUGGCGAAGGCGGGUUACUGGACAGUAACUGACGCUGAGGCUCGAAAGCGUUGGGAGCAAACAGGAUUAGAUACCCCAGUAGUC